CAAGUAAAACUAGUGAAUAAAUAUAUUCAACCUUUUGUCUAUACACCUAAGUUGAGACUUGAAGCAGCAAAGGAGCUAUACAUAACCAUAAAGAAAAGGACAAUCAAAAUACAACUAAAUUAUGUACAAAACACAAUCCCAAAGACACAAACCCUUAACGAAAUUCACAAAAAAUUGCCAUUUGGAAAAGAGAGUGUGUGUGUGUGUGUGAGAGAGAGAGAGAGAGAGAGAGAGCUCUUUCCUGUCUUCAAAUUAUGUUGUAAAGAAACUAACUUUUAAGGUUAUCCCACUUACAUCAAAACCAUUAGAGCUCUUCUCCUCAUUCAACCCUAGAAAUUCACUGCGGAGCUCUCCUUCCACUAUUCACUACGAUUAUUGUAACAUUUCUACUGCGCUCCAUUCACAAACACAAAAGCAACAGACAAUUGUUUUGAUGAGCAAAUACUCAUGUAAAAACGAUUUAGAAGAAAAUUGUACCUUUGCAAGAGGAGAUUUUGAGCUAGCGUUUCCUAUAGCACCACUGUUAUUUUUCCUUAGUAAAUGAAUCCCUAUUGUUCUAUUCAGGAGGUUGGUCCCAUUUGAAUUUCGGUUAAAAUUAAAAAAAUAAUAUAAUCUCAAAGAUUGAAUAGAAAAAAAAAUUUCUCUCUAAUAUUUCGUCAAACCACUGCAUCGUAUAUAUAUGACCACAAACACAAUGCUUCAUAUACAAAUUCUAAGAAUCAACAAUAUAAUUAUAAAUAAAGCAAUUAAAUUGGACAUGGUUCCCUCUUUUGAAGCACUCUUAUUGCAAUUAAAACCUUCUUAGAUGCAUAUAAAAAUCAAUACCAAAAACAAUUGAAGAAACUAACACCAAAUUUAACUAUAUAGAUAUAUGUAUAUAUAAAAGAAAGAUGCAUAAAAAUGAACCUGCUUAACAGCAAGAAGCUGUCUAGAAUCAAGAUUCAUUCCGAUAUAAACCCAGCCAAAUGCACUACAGUCCGUGGCCAAGCAGGAAGCCGCGGCCUUGAGAAAAGUCUUAUUUACAAUUGACAAUGUUGGACCUGAUUUCUUGAGGAAGCCUCUGAAGACACCUCCAAGCAUGUUGAGUGUUAUUCUAAUAGAAGAUUUAAUAAAUGCAAUGAAAUAAAACACAAAUUUUAGUUCAACAGUUUUGGAAAUUAACAAUUGUUUACAUAAAUAUAAAGAGAGUGAUAUUCGGGGUUUGUGAUGGGGAUACCCACUGGAACUGUUCGGAUCUCUAAACCAAAGUGGCCUUAAUUUGUUCUUGGUCAGCCAUGCUCUCUUCAAGAGCUUUAGUCAUCGAAAUCAAUAAUUUUGGAAAUUGACAAUUGUUUACACAAAUAUAAAGAGACUGAUAUUAGGGGUUUGUACUGGGAAUACCCAUUGGAUCUGUUCGGAUCUCUAAACCAAAAUGGCCUCAAUUUGUUCUUGACUUGCCAUGCUCGCUUCAAGAGCUUUGAUCAUCGGAAUCAAUCACUCGUUGAUCGUCGACUUCAAGGUAUAGUCGUCCAUCAACACUCCAUAGAUCAAGCCCUCUCAAGUCUCAAUCAGCCAUUUGUAACUCACAAACCCAUGGUGGAGACAUGAAGAGAGAGAGGUAGCAUGGUCUUUGUGAACAAGCUUGAAGUUUGAAAUGUGAGAGGCAAGGUUGAUAGAGAAACAAAAAGAAAAGCAAAGAAAAAGAAAGAGGAAGGGAGGUUUGAUCUUAGCCAUUGAAUGUUGGUGUCAUCUUCUAGCCCAUGAUGCAAUGAUGCCACGUUGGACAAAGGUUCAAAAACAAUCUUGUCACUGUUGGAUCAAACCCAAAAUUAAUCUUAGCCAUUCCAAUCAAAUGUAUCUCUAACACAUUUUUAAAAACAAAGUUGCCUUACUAUAUAGAUUAUGACUUCGGUUGGGUAGUUAUCACUUCACUUGUUGACAAAAAUGGGAUGUAGAGUGUAACCCCAAGAGGUUGGCUUGGUGGCAAGGCCAUGGGUCUUGGGGGUGUGCUCCCUCCAAGGUUCAGGGAUCGAAAUCUCUUAGGUGUUAACAAUUCCUUUAGCUCAUCAGACUGAGGGAAAACUCUUGAAUUAACUGUAGUGCACUUGUGGGAAACUGCUUGCCAAUGACCUAUGCACCCCUAGGAAUUAGUCAGGCUUUGAUCAGUACACCCCAAUGCCAAACCA
Non-coding RNA from Camellia sinensis, 2165 nucleotides. The record is from RefSeq and is a predicted model, not a curated record. Lineage: Eukaryota; Viridiplantae; Streptophyta; Magnoliopsida; Ericales; Theaceae.